This 660-nucleotide ribosomal RNA is filed under the name Triticum aestivum (bread wheat). RNAcentral describes it as "partial small subunit ribosomal RNA". Lineage: Eukaryota; Viridiplantae; Streptophyta; Magnoliopsida; Poales; Poaceae. The record is from RNAcentral.
AUGGAAGGGACCCAUGGCGACGGCAAUGGUGUGUGCUUCCCCUACGACGUGUUACUCGACAUCCUCCGCCGCCUCCCCUGCCACGCCAUCGCCAAGUCCCGGCAUGUCUGCCGUGCGUGGCGCACCCUCGUCGACGCCCACAACCUCCUCCUCCUCCCGACGGUGUUCUUCGACGUGACCAUCGGCGGCGCUCCCGCAGGCCGCAUCGUGAUGAGGCUGUUCGCCAAGGACGUGCCCAAGAUGGCGGAGAACUUCCGCGCGCUCUGCACCGGUGAGAAGGGCGUCGGCAGGAGCGGCAAGCCGCUGCACUACAAGGGCAGCGCGUUCCACCGCGUGAUCCCCGGCUUCAUGUGCCAGGGCGGCGGCAUCACCAGGGGCAACGGCCUCGGCGGCGAGUCCAUCUAUGGGGGCGACUUCCCCGACGAGAAGUUUGUCUACAAACACAUGCCCGGGAUGAUCUCUAUGGCCAACGCCGGGCCCAACACCAACAGCUCCCACUUCUUCAUCUCCACCGUGCCCUGCCCGUGGCUCGACGGCAAGCACGUCGUCUUCGGCGAGGUCAUCGUGGGCAUGGCCGUCGUCCGAAACAUCGAGAAGGUGGGCUCCCGCAGCGGCACGUGCUCCAAGCCCGUCGUCAUCGCCGACUCCGGCCAGCUCUAG